AUCUUGCAUCCUACCACAAUUAGUCAGUUCUUCAUUCAGUAAGGACUCAUAGCCAGAUAUGGAACUAUGCACAAAAGGAUAAAAAUAAAAUACUAAAACGGAAGAAAAUUAUGAAGAAGGAAGAGAGGGAGGUAGAGGAAGAAAAGAACAGGAUUGUAGGUGAUCAUCUCCCAUGCUCGGAUGCUCGGUCUCAGGCUGUGGUGUUUGGCAGAAAUCAGUGAUUUUUCAGAACGUUGGAAGGUGCCCACAACUGGCACUAGUGUAUUUUUUGUCCCUCUAAAGCACCUAUGGACAGUCCUAUGCUUUUCCAGACCAGAGGAAGCUUAGGAAGGCUUUGCUUCAUUCUAGGUCAGCCUGCCUGCAGAUAUAGUCCCUUUCCUCUGCUGCCUUAUUGUCAGUUACAUUAAAUACAGUCUAUGACAAGA
This is a long non-coding RNA of Felis catus (domestic cat), 425 nucleotides long. RefSeq lists it as uncharacterized. The transcript has 2 exons. The record is from RefSeq and is a predicted model, not a curated record. Lineage: Eukaryota; Metazoa; Chordata; Mammalia; Carnivora; Felidae.